This 1139-nucleotide ribosomal RNA is filed under the name Escherichia coli. RNAcentral describes it as "bacterial SSU rRNA". It matches the Rfam family "Bacterial small subunit ribosomal RNA", at positions 346 to 1477 of the family's 1533-position model. The record is from RNAcentral. Lineage: Bacteria; Pseudomonadati; Pseudomonadota; Gammaproteobacteria; Enterobacterales; Enterobacteriaceae.
AGCAGGCAGUGGGGAAAUAUUGCACAAUGGCGCAAAGCUGAUGCAAGCAUGCGCGUGUUUGGAAGAAGGCCUUUCGGGUUGUAAAGUACUUUCAGCGGGGGAGGAAAGGGAGGUAAGUUAAUACCUUGCUCAUUGACGUUACCCGCAGAAGAAGCACCGGGCUAACUCCGUGCAGCAGCCGCGGUAUACGGAGGGGUGCAAGCGUUAAUUGGAAUUACUGGGCGUAAAGCGCACGCAGGCGGUUUGUUAAGUCAGAUGUGAAAUCCCCGGGCUCAACCUGGGAACUGCAUCUGAUACUGGCAAGCUUGAGUCUCGUAGAGGGGGGUAGAAUUCCAGGUGUAGCGGUGAAAUGCGUAGAGAUCUGGAGGAAUACCGGUGGCGAAGGCGGCCCCCUGGACGAAGACUGACGCUCAGGUGCGAAAGCGUGGGGAGCAAACAGGAUUAGAUACCCUGGUAGUCCACGCCGUAAACGAUGUCGACUUGGAGGUUGUGCCCUUGAGGCGUGGCUUCCGGAGCUAACGCGUUAAGUCGACCGCCUGGGGAGUACGGCCGCAAGGUUAAAACUCAAAUGAAUUGACGGGGGCCCGCACAAGCGGUGGAGCAUGUGGUUUAAUUCGAUGCAACGCGAAGAACCUUACCUGGUCUUGACAUCCACAGAACUUUCCAGAGAUGGAUUGGUGCCUUCGGGAACUGUGAGACAGGUGCUGCAUGGCUGUCGUCAGCUCGUGUUGUGAAAUGUUGGGUUAAGUCCCGCAACGAGCGCAACCCUUAUCCUUUGUUGCCAGCGGUCCGGCCGGGAACUCAAAGGAGACUGCCAGUGAUAAACUGGAGGAAGGUGGGGAUGACGUCAAGUCAUCAUGGCCCUUACGACCAGGGCUACACACGUGCUACAAUGGCGCAUACAAAGAGAAGCGACCUCGCGAGAGCAAGCGGACCUCAUAAAGUGCGUCGUAGUCCGGAUUGGAGUCUGCAACUCGACUCCAUGAAGUCGGAAUCGCUAGUAAUCGUGGAUCAGAAUGCCACGGUGAAUACGUUCCCGGGCCUUGUACACACCGCCCGUCACACCAUGGGAGUGGGUUGCAAAAGAAGUAGGUAGCUUAACCUUCGGGAGGGCGCUACCACUUGGAAUCCUUUGCCCG